RNAcentral lists this ribosomal RNA (253 nucleotides) under uncultured bacterium. RNAcentral describes it as "partial 16S ribosomal RNA". It matches the Rfam family "Bacterial small subunit ribosomal RNA", at positions 524 to 776 of the family's 1533-position model. The record is from RNAcentral.
UACAGAGGGGGCAAGCGUUGUUCGGAAUUACUGGGCGUAAAGGGCGCGUAGGCGGCCUGCUAAGUCGAACGUGAAAUCCCUGGGCUCAACCCAGGAACUGCGUCCGAUACUGGUUGGCUUGAAUCCGGGAGAGGGAUGUGGAAUUCCAGGUGUAGCGGUGAAAUGCGUAGAUAUCUGGAGGAACACCGGUGGCGAAGGCGGCAUCCUGGACCAAUACUGACACUGAGGAGCGAAAGCCAGGGGAGCAAACGGG